ACUUCAGUAUCUGCACUUCCGCCGGCGUCCAUCGUGAAGAGGGGAAGUUCCUGUCGCGUGUGUGUGGUUCUUGUCCGGCUAGUGCCAUCCAUCGAAAUCUUCAGGCAUCUUGCAUGCUCUCGGUCUGUCUGCUUCCCUGCCCAGUGCAGGGCGCUCAGGCGGUGCAGCCCUCCUGGAGACCGAUGGAAGCACCUUGGAUCGACAGAUUACACCUUCUGCAGCAGCUGGGGGCCCCUAUUCUCUUCAGCUCCAUGGUGGGCGUCCCCUGCCCAGGGAGAGGAUGCCUGGGUAAAUGCUGCUGCUCUGGAGCAACGUGAAGCACAGAUGCCUCUCAAUUGCCUUCAGAAGUAACAGCUUGGCUGCACAGCGUCCGGAAGAGGGGUCUCCGUCCUGCCAGGCUGAUGGGCCGUGGUGCUCCUGAGUGAGGAUUGGCCCCUGGCAUCUGGAGCUCCGUCCCACAAGGAUAUUUGCGGUUUCCCCAGUUGCAUUUGGCAGUGUGUGAAGGCCCGUGCCCAGUGCCGCCAGAGUGCCGUGGCCCCGGUGUGCUCUUGAGCAGCCCACACAGCAGAGCCUCGUCAGGCUUGUCUCCAAAGAGCUCCAGUCUCUCCCCCAGAUUGUCAGCUGAUCCCUGCUGUGUCUGUCAGUGGUUCCAGAAGCAGCUGGAACAGGAUCCUUGCCAGGUGUGGACACCAGAGGGCCAGGGAGUAGACAGCAAGACUACCACUUGAAGUGAAACUAGAGACUGCCCAUUUGGAGCAUCAUGAAACAUCUUUUUGUUAUGUUUAGUAAUUGGCUCAGGCAUGGGAGACUCCAGCAUACAAGGUCUUAACAGCAGCACCUCAGAGGACUGUGUCCUGUCCCCAUGUCCAUCUGCCAGUGCCUGGAAGGACUGUGACGAGAGCUUUUACGUUAAACUUGUUGCCAACUUUGCUGCUACCUCCCCAACUGUGCAAUAAAUAAAAACCUGAUAGAUGAAUUCA
Molecule: long non-coding RNA, 980 nt
Organism: Peromyscus maniculatus bairdii (prairie deer mouse)
Lineage: Eukaryota; Metazoa; Chordata; Mammalia; Rodentia; Cricetidae
Source: RefSeq, a predicted model, not a curated record